RNAcentral lists this ribosomal RNA (464 nucleotides) under uncultured organism. RNAcentral's name for it is "bacterial SSU rRNA". It matches the Rfam family "Bacterial small subunit ribosomal RNA", at positions 28 to 507 of the family's 1533-position model. The record is from RNAcentral.
GACGAACGCUGGCGGCGUGCUUAACACAUGCAAGUCGAGCGGGAUUUGAGAGCUUGCUCUCAAAUCUAGCGGCGGACGGGUGAGUAACACGUGGGUAAUCUGCCCUCAAGUGGGGAAUAACACAGAGAAAUCUGUGCUAAUACCACAUAAUGUAUGCUGGUCGCAUGGCUGGCAUAAAAAAGAUUUAUUGCUUGAGGAUGAGCCCGCGGCCCAUUAGCUAGUUGGUGAGGUAAAGGCCCACCAAGGCAACGAUGGGUAGCCGACCUGAGAGGGUGAUCGGCCACAUUGGAACUGAGAUACGGUCCAGACUCCUACGGGAGGCAGCAGUGGGGAAUAUUGCACAAUGGGGGAAACCCUGAUGCAGCAACGCCGCGUGAGCGACGAAGGCCUUCGGGUUGUAAAGCUCUGUCUUCGCUGACGAAUAAAUGACGGUAAGCGAGGAGGAAGCCACGGCUAACUACGUG